This 434-nucleotide long non-coding RNA is filed under the name Apteryx rowi (Okarito brown kiwi). RNAcentral's name for it is "lncRNA (ENSARWG00000010118.1)". Lineage: Eukaryota; Metazoa; Chordata; Aves; Apterygiformes; Apterygidae. The record is from RNAcentral.
AUGCACAGAUCCAGUCAAGAAAGCACAGCUCCAAUUUUGAGCUUGAUCAUGAGAUGCAGAGUACCUUCAUCUGGACUAUUAAAUCAUCGAUGUGAGAAUGUUUCUUUGAUUUGUCAGAGACUGGUGAGAUACAUGGAUAUGGUACCCACCCUGCAUUCAGCAAGAGACAGUCGUUUUAGGACUCCUGGGCAUUUCAAGUCUACAUGGGAUAGUGUAUUACAGAAGCAAAUAAAGUGUCAAUAAGACAUGCCUGACCUGUCUUUAAAACCAGGUAGGUGAACUUCUGCUGAGCUCCGUGCUCCUACAGCUGUGCUAUCUGUAUGUGCUAUUUGACACUUGCCAUGUAACACUUUACUGUAGGUGUUUAUUCUGCAGUUCAGUCAUCACUGUCCGUAAUAGUGAGAAUUCAUAGGAAGUUAAUUUCUCUGAAUAAA